RNAcentral lists this ribosomal RNA (471 nucleotides) under uncultured soil bacterium. Its description in RNAcentral is "bacterial SSU rRNA". It matches the Rfam family "Bacterial small subunit ribosomal RNA", at positions 26 to 518 of the family's 1533-position model. The record is from RNAcentral.
AGGACGAACGCUGGCGGCGUGCUUAACACAUGCAAGUCGAGCGGUAAGGCCUUUCGGGGUACACGAGCGGCGAACGGGUGAGUAACACGUGGGUGAUCUGCCCUGCACUUCGGGAUAAGCCUGGGAAACUGGGUCUAAUACCGGAUAUGACCUCAGGUUGCAUGACUUGGGGUGGAAAGAUUUAUCGGUGCAGGAUGGGCCCGCGGCCUAUCAGCUUGUUGGUGGGGCAAUGGCCUACCAAGGCGACGACGGGUAGCCGACCUGAGAGGGUGACCGGCCACACUGGGACUGAGACACGGCCCAGACUCCUACGGGAGGCAGCAGUGGGGAAUAUUGCACAAUGGGCAAAGCCUGAUGCAGCGACGCCGCGUGAGGAUGACGGCCUUCGGGUUGUAAACCUCUUUCAGCAGGACGAAGCGCAAGUGACGGUACCUGCAGAAGAAGCACCGGCAACUACGUGCCAGCAGCCGC